UAUGACCACAUCAUGCUGAAACACUGGUUCCCAUAUGAUUACUGAAGUUAAGCAAUGUCGAGCCUGGUCAGUACCUAGAUGGGUGUCCACUUGAGAAUACUAGGUGCUGUCAG
Molecule: non-coding RNA, 113 nt
Organism: Acanthosepion pharaonis
Lineage: Eukaryota; Metazoa; Mollusca; Cephalopoda; Sepiida; Sepiidae
Source: the annotation of a GenBank genome assembly